UACGUAGGGGGCAAGCGUUGUCCGGAAUCAUUGGGCGUAAAGGGCGCGUAGGUGGUUUUGUAUGUCUACCGUGAAAGCAUACAGCUCAACUGUAUUUUGUCGGUAGAAACUGCAGGACUUGAGGCUGGGAGGGGCUGGUGGAAUUCCCUGUGUAGCGGUGAAAUGCGUAGAGAUGGGGGAGAACACUCGUGGCGAAGGCGGCCAGCUAGACCAGUUCUGACACUGAGGCGCGACAGCGUGGGGAGCAAACAGG
Molecule: ribosomal RNA, 253 nt
Filed under: uncultured bacterium
Lineage: Bacteria
Description: partial 16S ribosomal RNA
Rfam family: Bacterial small subunit ribosomal RNA
Source: RNAcentral